GUGGGGAAUCUUGCGCAAUGGGCGAAAGCCUGACGCAGCCAUGCCGCGUGAAUGAUGAAGGUCUUAGGAUUGUAAAAUUCUUUCACCGGGGACGAUAAUGACGGUACCCGGAGAAGAAGCCCCGGCUAACUUCGUGCCAGCAGCCGCGGUAAUACGAAGGGGGCUAGCGUUGCUCGGAAUUACUGGGCGUAAAGGGCGCGUAGGCGGAUCGUUAAGUCAGGGGUGAAAUCCCGGGGCUCAACCUCGGAACUGCCUUUGAUACUGGGUGUCUUGAGUAUGAGAGAGGUGUGUGGAACUCCGAGUGUAGAGGUGAAAUUCGUAGAUAUUCGGAAGAACACCAGUGGCGAAGGCGACACACUGGCUCAUUACUGACGCUGAGGCGCGAAAGCGUGGGGAGCAAACAGGAUUAGAAACCCUUGUAGUCC
Molecule: ribosomal RNA, 425 nt
Filed under: uncultured bacterium
Lineage: Bacteria
Description: partial 16S ribosomal RNA
Rfam family: Bacterial small subunit ribosomal RNA
Source: RNAcentral